AUGAAGUUAUUCAGCAUCUGGAUUGUGUGGGGUCCAAUUCUAGCAGACCUGUGUCAAGGAGAUUCUGUCACUCAGUCACUCUUCUCGGAUGUUCGGACAGAAGGAGAGGCGGUUAUUCUAAACUGUACCUAUGAUACUGCAUCUAGCUACUACAUAUUAUCCUGGCACCGACAGCACCCAGACACACAGCCCGAGCACAUACUCUGGAAAAGUAAUGCUGGGUAUGGAGACGAAGCUGAUUUUACUAAAAGUCGCUUCUCUGUAGAUCUUCAGUCUGAGAGGAAAUUCACCAGUUUGACUAUUUCUGGGCUACAGCUGACUGACACUGCCGUUUAUUACUGCGCUUUCAGGACCUCACAGUGA
Chiloscyllium plagiosum (whitespotted bambooshark) is the source of this 363-nucleotide non-coding RNA. NCBI's taxonomy places the organism in Eukaryota, Metazoa, Chordata, Chondrichthyes, Orectolobiformes, Hemiscylliidae. The record is from the annotation of a RefSeq genome assembly.